RNAcentral lists this ribosomal RNA (584 nucleotides) under Geastrum kotlabae. Its description in RNAcentral is "eukaryotic LSU rRNA". The stretch from base 204 to 358 matches the Rfam family "5.8S ribosomal RNA". The record is from RNAcentral. Lineage: Eukaryota; Fungi; Basidiomycota; Agaricomycetes; Geastrales; Geastraceae.
GUAACAAGGUUUCCGUAGGUGAACCUGCGGAAGGAUCAUUACCGAAGCAAUAAGGGUCCUUGAGACUGCACUCCAAGUAGUGCGUGCUCGGACUCUUCUUCUUCUUAUCCACACACACCUUUGUGCACCAAUGGGACGCAAGUCCCCUUUUUCACACGAAUACCAAGUUAUAUGCAUGUAUUUAACAUUUAACUAAAUGUAACAACUUUCAACAACGGAUCUCUUGGCUUUCGCAUCGAUGAAGAACGCAGCGAAUGUGCGAGACGUAAUGUGAAUUGCAGAAUUCAGUGAAUCAUCGAAUCUUUGAACGCAUCUUGCGCUCCUUGGUAUUCCGAGGAGCAUGCCUGUUUGAGUGUCGUGAAUACUCUCAGUUUCUUACUCUUUUGGUUUGAAACUGGACUUGAAUGCUUGCCGUGUUUUCCCACGGCUCAUUCUAAAUGCAUUAGCGGUCUACCCUCGAUCACACCACAAUGUGAUAAGUCAAGCAUUGGGGUUCGAGGCGGAAGGCGGCUUCUAACCGUCCGCGAGGACACUUGAUCUCAUCUGACCUCAAAUCAGGUAGGACUACCCGCUGAACUUAAGCA